UCGAUUUGGAGUUUGUUGCCUAGAGUGAUGGGCUCCGAAGCUAACGCGAUAAAUCGACCGCCUGGGGAGUACGGCCGCAAGGUUAAAACUCAAAUGAAUUGACGGGGGCCCGCACAAGCGGUGGAGCAUGUGGUUUAAUUCGAUGCAACGCGAAGAACCUUGCCUGGUCUUGACAUCCACAGAAUCUUUCAGAGAUGAGGGAGUGCCUUCGGGAACCGUAACACAGGUGCUGCAUGGCUGUCGUCAGCUCGUGUUGUGAAAUGUUGGGUUAAGUCCCGCAACGAGCGCAACCCUUAUCCUUUGUUGCCAGCGAUUAGGUCGGGAACUCAAAGGAGACUGCCGUUGAUAAAACGGAGGAAGGUGGGGACGACGUCAAGUCAUCAUGGCCCUUACGACCAGGGCUACACACGUGCUACAAUGGCGUAUACAAAGGGAAGCGAAGGUGCGAGCUGGAGCGGACCUCCUAAAGUACGUCUAAGUCCGGAUUGGAGUCUGCAACUCGACUCCAUGAAGUCGGAAUCGCUAGUAAUCGUGAAUCAGAAUGUCACGGUGAAUACGUUCCCGGGCCU
This 569-nucleotide ribosomal RNA is filed under the name uncultured Gammaproteobacteria bacterium. RNAcentral's name for it is "bacterial SSU rRNA". It matches the Rfam family "Bacterial small subunit ribosomal RNA", at positions 812 to 1381 of the family's 1533-position model. The record is from RNAcentral. Lineage: Bacteria; Pseudomonadati; Pseudomonadota; Gammaproteobacteria.